Molecule: non-coding RNA, 618 nt
Organism: Misgurnus anguillicaudatus (oriental weatherfish)
Lineage: Eukaryota; Metazoa; Chordata; Actinopteri; Cypriniformes; Cobitidae
Source: RefSeq, a predicted model, not a curated record
GUACGAAGCAGCUUGACGCCAUUUUAUGUCGGAUUGCAGAGGAGCAGGGACAUUGCCACGCCACUCAUGCACAAAAUGUGUUGGCAACAGCAACAGACGUUGAAAAAAGACUACAGUUUCCUGACUUAAUUGUCUAAGGUGAAUCAGCGUUUGGAUGCUGAGCAUCGGGUGGUUGUGCCUCCACAUCCCAACUUCGUGGCUGGAAUGGCAGCUUUGUUUUCUAUCUACUACAACUUCAAUCUGGUGUACCAGGAGGAGCAAGUGCACACUGGAGAUCAUUCAAAGAUGCUUCAUUGGACUGAACCCAUCCAGUGGGACCAAGACAGCAAAGGUGGUUAGCCAAAAAAGAGGGAAGGUACCGGAGAAAAAGAAGAACCGCAUUAACCCUCACGUCUCCUCUCUACUUAAGCGGCUGAUAGAUUUUGAAUGGCUUCAAUUGUAAGUCUCAAGCGACUUCCUCACAAUAUGAAUGGACAAUGUUCUAAAUGUUUUCUGAAUUUCACUGAAUGUUAAGAAAAUGAAUAGAAUAUGCUGUUAAGAAAAAGACAUUCUGAAAAUGUACAGUAUUGUAACACUGUAUUUUGUUUUAAUAAUAAAAUUUCAUGAUUUUGCAUCUUG